UGGUGUGGCUCCCACCCCUGGGCCCAGACAACAGCCACAUGGAAUCGUAAGGACCCUUUCCUCAAAGCGCCCAGUCUGGAUGCCAGGGCCGCAGCCCCAGCCUCCCUCACAUCGGUGUGCUAGGACGAGAUGUUUGCAGUGACACGCGUGCAAAGAGAGGAUGCCACUUAUUUUUAACGAACUGUGUGAAAAAUUACGCAUUCAUCUUCUUGGAGCGCCAUAAUCCCCGCCUGAAUUGUUACCUUUUUUGAAACGAUUCCGCCCUUUGCAGGAGGGGGCUACCGCCUCGGCGCAGCACCAGAGGAGGAGUCUGCCUACGUGGCAGGAGAAAGGAAGCGGCAUUCAGGCCAAGAGGUUCAUGUCGUGCUGAAGCUCUGGAAAACUGGAUUCAGCCUAGACAGUGGUGAACUUAGAAGCUACCAAGACCCCGCCAAUGCCCAGUUUCUGGAGUCUAUCCGUAGAGGGUUCUUAUCCGUGGUCAUGCUCAGCACCAGCUCCAGCUCUGCAUUCAAGUGUCAAGCACUGCAGACUUCACCUUGGUUCCACUCAAAGCACAGUUGGUGGGCCUCACCUUACUCAAGGCAGGAUGCCCUGGGGCAAAGUGCACACCAUGGCAUGUGCUGGCUUCCCAUGGCUCCUAGGAAGCAGUAGAGCAGAUGGUUAAUAUUUCAGAAGAGGGUGGAGACAAGAAAGAACUAACUGAUUUGGAGGGACAUCUAGGCAUUACCGUGUUUGGAAUGCAAAUCUUCUCCAUUUCAAGCAAACUUCCCUACCAUCAACUGAACACAAGGCACAUUGGGAGGGGAGGAUAUGUGUGUGAGUGUGUGUGUGUCUCUCCCUGUCUGUCCAGGUAUACAGUCCAGAAGAAUGCAUCCAAGUGAUUCAGGUUGCAAAGCAACAAGCAGUUUCACCAGUAAUAGUGCUGGGUUGAGCUGAGAAGGUUUCUGGAUGUUGGUGGGAGUAGGAGCAAGCUAUCUAGUAAGCCAGGAUGGUUCUAAGAACUGCACAUAACCAGUGGACUCACCUGCUCCUGUACACUCUACCUUCCAAAUGAGUCCUGGAUAGACACUCCCUGCAAUCUCAUUCCUUUGUUUCUGGCUCUGGUCUGGUCAGCAAUUUUCAUUUUGGACACACACCAAUAGGUCAAGGUGUGUGUCUGGCUGGUCCUCCUCCUCUUCCACUGUCGCCUUCUCUUCUCCUGUGUCUUCUAAUGGCACACAGGUACAUCUGGAGACAGGCAGUUGAUAAUCUCACCAUGAAUGGAAGGACCUCUGAGGUCUUUUCCUGAUGAUCACCAGCACUCCGUGAACCCCUGUUUACAGGAUUCUUGAGUCCCACAGUGCUUCACGCGGUUGGUGAAAUUGUGGCUCUGCCAGCCAUCAGGAACCUUUGUAGAGGAGAGAGUCAGGAGGAUUAUGAGUUCAGACCUGCCUCUCAGAAUCCAUUUUCAGUCCUUAGGGUCCGAGGUGAUCUGAGAAGGGUGUGGUUACACCCCUCACAGAGACCCUCCUUCCCCACAGUUCAUCUGCAGAUACAGGAAUGGUUUAUGUCCCCAGAUUCAGCCGGUGAUAUGGACAGAGCAUGGCACUGGCACACAGCUGUCCAAAAUGCCAAUCUGGACCUCUCUUCUCCUGCACUGUCUGCAUCCUCAGCCAACUGCCAUCUACCCUCUGGCAUCAGCCUCUAGGGAGCACUGUGCCUCCACCAGCACUUGGAAUAGACACAAGAAUGGGGCCUCUUGGUAAAAGUAGGCAGGGCUUGCAUGUGGCUGUGCUUGCACUGGGCUGGCUUGGAUUCUCAGGCUGCUUCCUCCUGAGCGCUCCCUUGUUCCCUUCACCGACCCUUCUCCAGCCUCCUUGCCCAGCUGUCUAUCUAGCUCAAGUUUCUCAAAGAAGGAUACUGUGGGGUUUGCUUUCUAGUGUGAUCAUACAAUAUCACCAAACCCUAAAAUGUGAGUCUUUAUAAUCUGUUUAUCUAAAAUGAAUUUUUUUUAAGUCCAGGAAACAGCUCAGUGGGUAGAAGCAUUUGCUGCCAAGCCUGGGGACCUUAAUCUGUUCCCCAGGACCCGUAUGAUAGAAAGACAGAACUGCAAGUUCCUCCACAAACGCACAGUACAUAAUUUAUUUUUCUUUAAAGAAAAGGACAUUAAGCUGGAUGUUGUGACACGUGCCUGAAAUCCUAGCACUGGUGGAAGCAGAGGCAGGUGGAUCUCUGUGAGUUUGAGUCCAGACUGGACUACAAAGCAAGUCUAGGACAGCCAGGGCUACAUAGGGAAUCCCUUGUUUUAUAAAAACAUAAUAAAGAAAAGAAAAGGACAUCAUAAAAAAAAGUUUUUAAAAAGAGGCCUAGAUGCAAAAGUGCAUUGUAGCUUCUCCACCUACCUGGUACCACAGCUCCUUCUACAGCCCUUUUAGUCCAGAGCCAAGAUUUAGUUCUUGACUAGGAGCUGUCUCCUUUGGAUGGGCAUGCAGCAACAUAACCUUCCAAGUCCUUUUGUGAUGUUCCUGCUGAUGCUUUUCCAAACCCACUUCCUAAAGGGGCUCUGAGUAUAAUUUGGUGCUGGCCAUGAGAUGUCUUAGGCCUGAUUCUGGGGAGAAUGGGCUGGGCUCUUUUCUUCCUACAAUAGGCCCUUCUUCCUGGGUCCUCUUGCUGGAGAAUAGUGUUGAUAUGGGCUGUUUUUUAUUUGUUUGUUUGUUUUGUUUUGUUUUUGUUUGUUUUGUUUGUUUGUUUGUUUUGUACAAUGGAACCCUCUUCUUGGCCUCCUUGCUGGAGAAAAGAGGUUACCUGGCCUUUUUUACUUUUACUUUGGGGUCGGUACCCUGGGCCUCCUUGAUGGAGAAUUGAGAUGCUCUAUGUUCUGAGCUCAUAAUGUUGUUUGAACCGGCUGUAGUCACUUCUUGGGGCUGUCAGCUGAGGUCCUCCUUAGGUGAAGCUUUUGGGAGAGAUGAGCUGAUACUCUCACCAGUUAUGUUGGUGUUCUUACAUUGAUAUUCCUCCUCAGAGGCAUGAUGGAAUAACAUAUCCUGUGAGGACACAGGAUGUUUUUCAAAUUGUUAGAGCCAACUUUCAACACAUCCUGAGAUGACUGCCUGCAGUGAGGUUUCAGUGGUGUGUUCUCUAAACACAUUUUGGUAUAUAUUUCUUCUGAGAUGUCAGUGCUGUUUGUGUCCCACCUGGUGAUGCUCAUGAAAUGAGCCUCAUGGAAUCACUGGGGACAGAUUUUAGGAGGGUUAUCUCAUUGUUCAAGCAGAUCAGGGUGGGUGGCCAACUGUACCUCCUUUUACCCUCUAUGUUAUUCUCAGGACUCUGAGGUACAUUGCGAUCAAGGAAGGUGGGAAGGGAAGGGACACCAUAUGUCCUGUUUAUAGUCACUUUUGGUGUCAUGGUUCACCCUGUGAGGUUCAAGGUUCAAUCCGACUGCCUGGGCUUAAGUUUUGUUUUAAAAUUGUCCCCCCAGGGUGACUGUUGCCUAAGAAUAAGAUAUGUAGCCAUCACCUGGUCAAACUUUUUCUCCUGUAAAGGUUGCUGUAUCUCUCUUUUCUUGUAUCCCAUGACUCUCAUGAUGACCAUUACAGUGGGGUUUUUGUGGCUGUUAGUGUUCUCUCUAAAGAAAUUGGGAGAACCUUCACCGUUAAGCUUUAGCCAUUGAAAGUUCAGAAUAUCACCAGUUGUCAGCCUUAGUCCAGGGAGUUAACAACUUAGCAAUCACAUCCCAGAGCUCCUUUGACAGCUUGAAUCUGACGGAGUACUUUCCUGCCAAGACCCUCUGCUUUAGCCCUUCAUAUGUACAUCCCUGGAAAGGGAGGCACCCAGUCGACAUAGAGUAGAGCACAACCCCCAAGCUCCAGACAUCAAUUGCAAGGCCGUUGUAGCCGCUUCCUUCAAAGAGUUCUGGGGCACAAUGAGGGAGGAUCCCACAAAAAGCUGCCUGCUUCUGUCCCAUGGUGAGCUUGGUGGCCAAUCCAAAAUCGCUCAGUUUGAUAUUCCCUUUGCUGUCCAUUACUUUUUGGUUAAUGUUCACUUAGAAGUGAAUACAUAACCAUGCAAGUCUUUCUGGAUCUGGAUUACCUUACCCAGGGUGGUCUUUUCCGUAUCCAUUUGGUGAAAUUUUCAAUUUUGUGGAAUACAGGCUUUUGAAAUAAAAUCUAAUGUUUAUAUUUCCUCAAUAUCUGUUAUGUCCCCCCCCUUUUCAUUUCUGAUUUUCUCAAUUUGAAUACUAUCUGUCUGCCUUUUAGCUUGGCUAAAACUUUGUCUAUCUUGUUGACUUUCGCCAAGAGCCAGCUCUUGGUUUUUUUGGCUCUUUGUAUUGUUAAUUUAUUGAUUUUAGCCCUGAGUUCGAUUAUUUCCUGCCAUCUAAUUACUCUUGGGUGUGUUUGCUUCUAUUUGUUCCAGAGCUUUCACAUGUGCUGUUAAGUUGCUAAUAUGAGAUCUCUCUAAUUUCUCUACAAAGGUACUUAGUGCUAUAAACUUUUCUCUUAGCACUGCUUUCAUUGUGUUUCUAAGUUUGGGUAUGUUGUGCCUUCAUUUUCAUUGAAUUUUAGACAGUCUUUAAUUUCUGUAUUUGUUCCUUGACCCAGUGGUCAUUGAGUAGAGAGUUGUUCCAUUUCCAUGAGUUUGUGGGCUUUCUGUUGUUUCUGUUGUUGAAUUCCAGCUUUAAUCUUUGGUGGUCUGAUAGAUACAUGGGGUUAUUUAAAUUUUCUUGUAUCUGAGACUUGCUUUGUUCCCAUGUAUAUGGUCAGUUUUGUAAAAGGUUCCAUGAAGUUCAGAGAAGAAGGUAUAUUCUUUUGUCUUUGGGUGAAAUGUUCUGUAGAUACCUGCUAUGUCUAUUUGAUUCAUAUCUAUUAGUUUUAUUAUAUCUCUGUUUAGCUUCUGUCUGGAUGACCUGUCUAUUGGUGAGAGUGGGGUGUUGAAAUCUCUCACUAUUAAUGUGUGAGAUUCCAUGUGCGAUUUAAACUUUAGUAAUGUCUUUUACAAAUGUAGGUAACCUUGAGUUUAGGCUAUAGAUGUUCAGAAUGAAGACAUCAUGUUGGUAUAUUUUUCCUUUGAUGUAUUUGAAGUGUUUUACCCUAUUUCUUGAUUAAUUUUUAUUCAAAUCUAUUUUAUUAGAUACUAGAAUGGCUACUUCAGCUUUCUUCUUGGGUCCAUUUGAUUGGAAAAUCUUAUUUCCAGCUCUUUACUCUGAGGUAAUGUCUGUCUUUGUUGCUGAGGUGUGUUUCUUGUAUCCUGAAGAAUGAUGGGUCUUGUUUUCACAUCCAUUUUGUUAGCCUGUGUCUUUAUAUUGGGGAAUUGAGUCCUUUGAUGUUGAGAGAUAUUAAAGACCAGAGGUUAUUGAUUCCUAUAAUUUUGAUAAUGGUGGUAGUAUAUGUGUAUGUGUGAGAGAGAAAGAGAGUGUGUGUGAAUUUCUGGUUUGCUGCUGCAGAGUUAUUUAUCUCCUCGUGUUUUCUUGGGUAUAGUUAACCUUGGUUUCCAGGGUUGGGUUGGUUUUUUUUUUUUUUUUUUUCCUAGUAUCAUCUUUUCUAGUAUCUUUAUUGUAGGGCUGGAUUUGUGCACAGAUAUUGUUCAAAUUCAGUUUUGUCAUGAAAUAUAGUUUUCUCCAUCUAUGUUGAUUGAAAGUUUGCUAGGCAUAGUAGUCUAGGCUUACAUAUGUGGUCUCUUAGAGUCUGCAAGACAUCUGUCAAGGCCCUUCUGGCUGUUAGAGCCCCUGUUGAGAAGUUAGGUGUAAUUCUGAUAGGUCUGCCUGUAUAUGUUAAUUAGCCUUUUCCCUUAAUAUUCUUUCUUUGGUCUGUACAUUUAGUGUUUUGUACUACUGUGUGGCAAUUUGAUUUUCUUUUUUUGUUCAAUCUAUUUGGUAUUUAUAGGUAUCUCUUUCUUUAGGUUGUGGAAAUUGUCUUCUUUGAUUUUUUUAAAUUAUUUAUUUUAUGUAUAUGAGUGCUCUAUCUGCAUGUGUGCCUGCAUGCCAGAAGAGGGCAUCAGAUUCCAGCACAGACAGUUGUGAGCCACCAUGUGGUUGCUGGGAAUUGAACUUAGGACCUCUGGAGUAGCAGACAGUGCUCUUAUCUGCUGAGCCAUCUCUCCAGCCCCUCCUUCUUUGAUUUUAAAAUAUUUUUUAGGCAUUGGAGUUGGGAGUCUUCUCCUUUUUCUAUUCCUAUUUUUCUUAGGUUUGGUGUUUUCAUAGGGUCCCAUAGUCCCUGGAUGUUUUGUGUCAGGAGCUUUUUAGAUUUAACAUUUCCUUUGACUGAUGCAUUUAUUUCUUCAAUUUUCUCUUCUAUAUCUGGGAUCUCUUUUCUAUUUUUUGUAUUCAUUGGGUAAGCUUGUGUCAGUAGUUCCUGUUAUCUUCCCUAGGUUUUGCAUCUCCUGGAUUGUCUCAAAUUUUGUUUUCUUUAUUGCUUAUAUUUCCAUUUUCAGGUCUUGAACACUUUUAUUCAUUUCCUUCACCUGUUUGAUUGUAUUUUCCUGUAUUUCUUUAAGGAAUUUAUUUAAUUACCGUUUAAAGACCCCUAUCAUCUUUGUAAGAUUGGGUUUAAGGUCCUCAUAUCUCUGCUUUCGCUUUACAGUAACAGUUGAAUAACAUGACUAUGAGAUCUAAAACAAUUAGUUCUUUACAGAAAAAAAAAAAAAAAAAAGAGUUCGCCCAUACCCUGACAUACACAAGCCACAAAUGGGUUUCUGAUGAUCAGGUGAAAGGGAUGGACAGACUACCUAUAGUUUAUUUUGUAGAGCAGAGUCACAGUUGAAAUCUCAUUGCUAUUGAAGAAAAUAAGUUUAUGCAAUUUCCCAAAAGUAUUCUCCUUUAAGAGACUACCUCUAACUGAUACAGUAGUGAAUCAGUUGUGUCCCUUUAGGCUAGCAGUCAGCCAACAUAAUGAAUGCAUUAUUUGGAAUUACUUUUUGUUAGUUGUGUCAACUGCCAUAAUAAAUGUAGAAGUUGCUGAUGAGCACAGAA
Psammomys obesus (fat sand rat) is the source of this 6943-nucleotide RNA transcript. It is a transcript of the gene named N-acetylneuraminic acid phosphatase, with no coding region annotated. Lineage: Eukaryota; Metazoa; Chordata; Mammalia; Rodentia; Muridae. The transcript is spliced from 4 exons. The record is from RefSeq and is a predicted model, not a curated record.